RNAcentral lists this ribosomal RNA (769 nucleotides) under uncultured Actinomycetes bacterium. RNAcentral's name for it is "bacterial SSU rRNA". It matches the Rfam family "Bacterial small subunit ribosomal RNA", at positions 8 to 795 of the family's 1533-position model. Lineage: Bacteria; Bacillati; Actinomycetota; Actinomycetes. The record is from RNAcentral.
AGAGUUUGAUCCUGGCUCAGGAUGAACGCUGGCGGCGUGCUUAACACAUGCAAGUCGAACGAGGUCCAACCUUCGGGUGAAGACCGAGUGGCGAACGGGUGAGUAACACGUGGGGAACCUGCCCUUCUCUCUGGGAUAACCUCGGGAAACCGAAGCUAAUACCGGAUACUCCUUGCGGACCGCAUGGUCUGCUCAGGAAAGCUCCGGCGGAGAAGGAUGGCCCCGCGGCCCAUUAGCUUGUUGGUGGGGUAACGGCCCACCAAGGCGACGAUGGGUAGCCGAGCUGAGAGGCUGAUCGGCCACACUGGGACUGAGACACGGCCCAGACUCCUACGGGAGGCAGCAGUGGGGAAUCUUGCGCAAUGGGCGAAAGCCUGACGCAGCAACGCCGCGUGCGGGAUGAAGGCUCUCGGGUCGUAAACCGCUUUCAGCAGGGAUGAAAAUGACAGUACCUGCAGAAGAAGCCCCGGCUAAAUACGUGCCAGCAGCCGCGGUAAUACGUAUGGGGCAAGCGUUAUCCGGAUUCAUUGGGCGUAAAGCGCGCGUAGGCGGCUUGUUAAGUCAGGCGUGAAAUCCGGGGGCUCAACCCGCGGCUUGCGUCUGAAACUGGCAGGCUUGAGUCCGGUAGAGGAAAGUGGAAUUCCUGGUGUAGCGGUGAAAUGCGCAGAUAUCAGGAGGAACACCAGUGGCGAAGGCGGCUUUCUGGGCCACGACUGACGCUGAGGCGCGAAAGCUAGGGGAGCGAACAGGAUUAGAUACCCUGGUAGUC